This is a long non-coding RNA of Harpia harpyja (harpy eagle), 1511 nucleotides long. RefSeq lists it as uncharacterized. The record is from RefSeq and is a predicted model, not a curated record. Lineage: Eukaryota; Metazoa; Chordata; Aves; Accipitriformes; Accipitridae. The transcript is spliced from 3 exons.
CAACUGCUUCAACCUCAGCCCCUAGCACCACCUCUUUGGUUGUCAGCAUGGCAAGCAAUAUGAACACUGCAAACAGCCUUGGCCUGAGUGUUACCGGUGUGUCUAUAGCAGCUUGCUACCACAUGGACAGCUCCCUUGGUGUCUUCAGGUAUUCGAUGGGUGAGCUUCUACGAGCACAUCAUCAUAGUGGGAACGGGGCAAGGUUCCUUCCUGUUUUACAGCAUCAGAGCCCAGAGGUUCCUGGGUGAAAAGCCCCACUGUGCCUGCCAUGGACAGAAGCAGAAAUAGGAGGAAGCAGAGUUUUGCAGUUGACUACUGGGAAAGGCUGGCUGAAUCCUGAUGAAACCUGGAGGAACUAUUUUUCUGACCCAAAUUUCUUCCCAAAUGCUCUUCAAACCCACUGCUUUGACUCGUCUGGGACAAAACUCUCUGUGGCAGGAGGUCCCCUUCCAUCAGGACUUCAUGGAAAUUGCACUGGUCUCUGGAGCUAAUGAUAACUCUUUACAAAUGCUGGUCUUUACACAGAUUUCGCCUUUUCUUCUCCUUUUUUUAACAACAAAACCAUGUGAUGCUGUUGUUUUCUGAUUUCAAGGCAAGUUAUUUUUUGGCAGAGAUUUCUGUUGGUCUCCAGCAGUUUUGUUCCUCUUUUUGAAGCAGUUUUUUGCUUUAACCUCCUUGAUGCUUUAUAUGAAGGGUUUUUGAAAUCUCUUUUUAUUGUAUUGAGUCCAGAUGCCUCUUCCCCCACAUUGAGGCUAUCUUGGCCAUGUGCCCCCUCCCCUACUUUGCUGUGAGAUAGGGUUCCUUUCUCAGAGAGGGGUUGCUCCUGGGCUUUCUGUGAAAGUCUGGGGGCUGCGUGUGUGCAGGUACUUUGUGUCAGUGAUGUUACCUGGAGUGAGGGCUACUUGUAAUCAAACAACAUUAGAUGUAUUUAUAAGAGAGAAGCUACUGCUUUAUCUGCAGACCUGGCCCUGGCCUGGGUUGAUCUUAUUUCUUAAAAGUACAGGUCUAAUGACACUGUUUAUACAUAGAGGAAUACGGUCAUUUUAAGCUGUACUUGUUGGAGCCCAGGGAUGGAUUCCCUGGGAGUAUUGCCCAUCAAGCCCAAACUGUAGGAGUGCAGGAGUUUUCAAAAGUGUGUUUGUAUUUGAAUUGUAGUUUUCAGCAGUGCUGGGAGCAAAAAUGGAUCUCUCUUCCUCCUCUGCCUGUCCCAGGUAUCAGCUUGCACAACUGGAGUUUGCGUAGGCUGUUCUGCAGCAUGGCUAUUGCAGGGGGACAUGACAUGGAGGGCCUGCAGAGGUGCUGAGGGAAAAUGGGGGCUAGGGGCAUGAGUGUUCUGGUUGUUCAAAAUGGACUAAAUCUCUCCAUUUUCCACAUGAGCCAAGGUUCCCGAGUGUGCUGCUGCUGUAGCUCAUGGGUUCUUCAUAACCUGCCUACAACCCAGGAUGUUUUUUGUCCCAGGCUGUGGAAACUUUUCCCAUUUUAGCUGUUCUGGUUGGCCAUCUCCUGUAAUG